CCCUGCCUGGCCCCAGCCUCCCGGCACUUUAAAAGCGGGGCUGUGCUGGAUUAUUCCCAGGGAGCGCCUCCAAAACAUCCGAAACAUUUCCGAAACGUUUUGGAUGGUUUCGUUUCAUUUCAGAGCCUUCUGUUUAGUUUUGGAUUCAGUGUUUCGGGCACUGAAAUGGGCCAAAACACCUCCAAAACUAAACAGCUGCCAAAAUUUCACACAGCCCUAGUUUCCAUGUCUUAAGUGGGAAGGCUGAUUUUCCUUGACUGGACUAGAAGCCGGCAUGUGUGAAGAAUGAGUUGAUCCUCCUCUUGCUAUAGCAUUGCAGCAUCAGGUAACUGUAAAGCCUCGAUCUUUGGGUGUAGCUGGUGCCCAGGCACUUGAACAGAGUGCCCUUGGCGCCUGCAGUGACUGUCAGUUUUCUGACACUCACAAUAAGAAGGGGCGGAUCCUGUGUUAACCCUCUGGGGCUUCACCUUAUUAUUGUCCUGUCACAUGAGAAAGGUCCUGCUACCUUCCCCAGACUGUCUCUCAAGAUGCUAUGGUUCCUGGAUGCUGUUUCCACAACUGACUCUCUCACACAGUUGGUGAUAACUCUAGACAAAUCUUUUUUCCUAUGUUCUGCCUUCCAAAAACAAGGUGCAUGCCUUAUUGGGAGCAUGUGGUAUGCAAGAAACUAAUGUAUACUGCUGCUUUAUUUUAUCUUGUUGCAUUCAUGUCUUCUCCUUAUUAAGAUCGGUUUUCAACUGAAGCAGCACGUCUUCAUGGUUGCACAGUUUAGAAACAUUACAGAUUACCAAGCUCUCUAUGACUGUACUGUCUUUCUCUUCCCUAAAGAGUUAUGAUCACAGUUGUAAACAGUGUGGGAUUGUGUGGUUUAGCACCGAGUCUGGCCCUGUAUGCCACACCACUUUGGUAUAGGAAAAAUGAACAGCUCCCAGAGGGGCAGUGGAGAGGUCCAUUGGUCCAGACACUACACAGCUCUGCACCCAGGAAGGUCUGGAGGUGGAGUCUGAGACCAGGCCAUAUUGCACAGUUCUGAAUCCCUUCUAGGUUUAGUCCUACUGAAUGGAAUCCUGGGAAGGCUGCCAUACCUUACAACAGACCUCAGGGCUGCCUCAUGUACACUGGUGGGAUGUUUUGGCCCCUUGAGCAGCUUGAAUUCUAGAUUGUGCCUCUCAUUCAGUCUGGGCUUAGCCUGUUGAGCUUCCCACAGGUGCAACACAGGAUCUCAGCCAUAGCAUCCAGUUUAAAACUGUGUGGUCACAAUGUUGUAAUUAGUGGAAAUCUUAUGUAUUUGUGAGCCAGGAAAUUGGGAGCCAAGGUCAUGCAGUGAUUGCUGCAGUUUCCUUUUAAGCUUUCCCACCCCACUCCCUGUCAACCUCAGUGGGAUUCUUGUGAGCGCUGCAUUAAAUGGCAACAGCAUAUGCCCAGUAAGAAGCACUGAUGAAGCAUGACCAAUAGCAUCUUGGGGCCAGAGCAUAAUCCAGUCAUACAGUUCUGUCUGACUUCACAGUUAUGGAGUGCAGCUGGAACCCUAAAGUCUAGCUAAAGUCUAAACUGAAAUUUGUACUCGUUACUAAUUCAAAUAAAAUGAAAUGAACUGGCAUCUAGCUAAUACCUUUUUCUAAAUGCUAAUCUAGUGUAAGCCAGACCAAAGUCUUGGAGCAAACCAUUUGUGGAAUGUCUAAGCAUUUGCAAAGCCUUUCUUAAUGAGCUGGCAGUUGUUUGUGACAGGUGCAGUAAUUCAAGUAGUGAUAGAGCAGCUUCUCAGCUCUGCCCCAUUCCUCACCCAUGCACUGACCCAGCACAAAACCAACCCUUAUAACAGGCUGCAGAGAUCUUUAAAGGGCUGUGUGAGUCAAGCCAGUGAUGUUGGUUGCUAAGUUGGUGCCAGUGCAAAUUCUACCCCCACAAGCAUCCUUGACCCUUGGGGUGUGGCGGAAUGGUGCUGACAGGUGAAGGCAGAGUACCGGAGUUUCCAUCAUGCUGGGGAGUGGUCAGAUGGGGCUGAGGUCAUGAUGCAAGAGCUCAUAGAGGCCUCCCUGCAAUGUUCCUGGACCUCUCAACUGUUCCCUGUCAUGCAGCAAAGGAAUUCCCAUCUGUACUGGAGCAGUUCUGAGUGACAGAACUAUAGAUGUGCAUCUUGCCCUGUCAGCUGAAGAUUAGAUAUCCCUGGAUGUCCUGACUGGAGAUCUGCAGGCUGAGAAGAGCACAUAGCGUCCAUAGUUCCCUCUACAAGCAGUGCAUCAAGUGUCAGAAAUCAAUGCAGGUCUGAGCAGGACAGAUGGACAGGAGUGUGGACCAGGGCUGAGUCUGAUGACCAGGU
Molecule: long non-coding RNA, 2320 nt
Organism: Alligator sinensis (Chinese alligator)
Lineage: Eukaryota; Metazoa; Chordata; Crocodylia; Alligatoridae
Exons: 3
Source: RefSeq, a predicted model, not a curated record